Molecule: unclassified non-coding RNA, 359 nt
Filed under: uncultured bacterium
Lineage: Bacteria
Description: contains 16S-23S intergenic spacer region
Source: RNAcentral
UCCGGGUUGAUCCCGGCGGUCUCGCCAGAAAAGGUAACUGGCGACGAGGGUUGCGCUCGUUGCGGGACUUAACCCAACACCUCACGGCACGAGCUGACGACAGCCAUGCACCACCUGUGCAGGCUCCGAAGAGCGCCGUCUUUCAACGGUUUCACCCUGCAUGUCAAACCCAGGUAAGGUUCUUCGCGUUGCAUCGAGUUAAACCACAUGCUCCGCUGCUUGUGCGGGGCCCCGUCAAUUCCUUUGAGUUUUAGCCUUGCGGCCGUACUCCCCAGGCGGGGCACUUAAUGCGUUAGCUCCGGCACGGGAGGAGUCGACACCUCCCACACCUAGUGCCCAUCGUUUACGGCGUGGACUAC